This 72-nucleotide transfer RNA is filed under the name Camelus bactrianus (Bactrian camel). It matches the Rfam family "tRNA". From Rfam's summary of the family: Transfer RNA (tRNA) molecules are approximately 80 nucleotides in length. Their secondary structure includes four short double-helical elements and three loops (D, anti-codon, and T loops). RNAcentral also lists the same sequence under 1 other name. The record is from Rfam by way of RNAcentral. Lineage: Eukaryota; Metazoa; Chordata; Mammalia; Artiodactyla; Camelidae.
GGGGGCAUAGCUCAACAGUAGAGUGUGUGCUUAGCAUGCAUGGGGUCCUGGGUUCAAUCCCCAGCACCUCCA